AAAGUCGUAACAAGGUUUCCGUAGGUGAACCUGCGGAAGGAUCAUUAUCGUGGGGCUCCGGCCCUAUCGAGAUAGAACCCUUGCCUUUAUAGUACCUUCUGUUGCCUCGGCGCCUGCUUCAUUGCGGCGCCAAUGGGGCCAACCAAAAAACUCUUUUUAUUACCUGUAACAGUCUGAAAAACAAACAAAAGUUAAAACUUUCAACAACGGAUCUCUUGGUUCUG
This 224-nucleotide unclassified non-coding RNA is filed under the name Ascomycota sp. RNAcentral describes it as "partial contains small subunit ribosomal RNA, internal transcribed spacer 1, and 5.8S ribosomal RNA". The stretch from base 1 to 47 matches the Rfam family "Eukaryotic small subunit ribosomal RNA", at positions 1785 to 1831 of the family's 1831-position model. The record is from RNAcentral. Lineage: Eukaryota; Fungi; Ascomycota.